Molecule: long non-coding RNA, 641 nt
Organism: Hemiscyllium ocellatum (epaulette shark)
Lineage: Eukaryota; Metazoa; Chordata; Chondrichthyes; Orectolobiformes; Hemiscylliidae
Exons: 3
Source: RefSeq, a predicted model, not a curated record
CCUCAGGCAGCUCCACUCCUCUCACUCGGACAUUAGAUCAUCCAUUUUAAUUGCUUCACCAUAGACAGCAGUAACUUUGGUUAUCAAGGCCUGAAGCUCUGAAUUCCUCUCUUUAUAUCUGCCCAUUUCUCUACUGCCUUUUCCAUUUGUCUUAUAAAACCCAAGUCUUUUUGAUCAUCUACACUCACACCAAAGGCAGGGCAAAGAAAACCAGAGAUGCAAAGAAUAAUCAAAGAUUGGAGUAAUCGAGAGUUCUUGGAAGAUUGCAGGAUAAAGUAUAUGCUCCUGCAGCAUCCUUCAUGGAAUGUCAGAAGAAGCAACACAGUCAGUUCUGAAGAAGUCUUAUAACAUGAAAUCGAUAACAACAGGGUCAAUGACUUACAGAGCCCUGUGCAAAACCAACUUGGAACAACAACUAUUCAGGGAGAACUCAAGAUCUACAAGUUUGAGCCGUACUGAAGAAACAAGGCAACAUCAAAAUAGUUGAGAAUCCUGUUUAAGAUCUAUUACUGCAUGGAUUCUCCGAACUUUAAAUUACAACUGUCUUUACAAUCCUGCCUGCAUAGAUACCACCCCUUUUACCUUUUAAGCUUAUUAAGCAAUUUGCUUGGGUGUUAAUGUUCUAAUUUUUUUUCCAAAUA